AUUCAAUCGAUUUUCUUUUUUAAUUCAAUUUAGGGGUUUGGAAUAACUAGUACUUGCUUCAGCUGUGCAGGAGUCUGUGUACGUACAUAUAUGUGUAUGUAAUAUAUAUUUCACUUCAGGUUUUAGAAGAGGUGCAGAUCCUGGAAUGCCUGAGCCAACUAUUUUGAGUUUACUUUGGGGAUGAAAGCUGUGGCUGUCUUGUUCUAGAAGAAGCUGAUGAACAGAGAAAAUGUCUGAAGAUACGUACAUUCCAGAGGAGGAGGUGGACACUUAACGUUACACCAGCUGGCUCAGGCAGCUUGCUAAUGACAUAGAUUGUACAUACAGCAAAAUGGAGUUUAUAUGGACCUAACUUAUUUGCAUUACAGUGUAAUUAAAUAAAUACAGUUUGAAUCAAUAUGUAUUGUUUUAAAGUCUUUAAAUAUGUAUAAUUUAGUAAUUCCUUUAUUGCAGAAAGGAUAACCAUUUUGUUUUCUCUAAGUUUGGUGAAGUUUAACCUCCAUAUUUAUCCUCAUUAUGAUGAUCUUUAAGGUAAAGAUUCUCAUUUAUCUUCAGAAUAAAGAGAAAACUGAGCUGUUUUAAAUAUUUUAA
This is a non-coding RNA of Struthio camelus australis, 591 nucleotides long. NCBI's taxonomy places the organism in Eukaryota, Metazoa, Chordata, Aves, Struthioniformes, Struthionidae. The record is from RefSeq and is a predicted model, not a curated record.